AUUGAACGCUGGCGGCAGGCUUAACACAUGCAAGUCGAGCGGUAACAGAGAGAAGCUUGCUUCUCUGCUGACGAGCGGCGGACGGGUGAGUAAUGCCUAGGAAUCUGCCUAGUAGUGGGGGAUAACUUGCCGAAAGGUAAGCUAAUACCGCAUACGUCCUACGGGAGAAAGGAGGGGACCUUCGGGCCUUUCGCUAUUAGAUGAGCCUAGGUCGGAUUAGUUAGUUGGUGAGGUAAUGGCUCACCAAGACCGCGAUCCGUAACUGGUCUGAGAGGAUGAUCAGUCACACUGGAACUGAGAAACGGUCCAGAGUCCUACGGGAGGCAGCAGUGGGGAAUAUUGGACAAUGGGGGGAACCCUGAUCCAGCCAUGCCGCGUGUGUGAAGAAGGUCUUAGGAUUGUAAAGCACUUUAAGUUGGGAGGAAGAGCAGUUAACUAAUAUUUGACUGUUUUGACGUUACCGACAGAAUAAGCACCGGCUAACUUCGUGCCAGCCGCCGCGGUAA
RNAcentral lists this ribosomal RNA (506 nucleotides) under uncultured bacterium. Its description in RNAcentral is "partial 16S ribosomal RNA". It matches the Rfam family "Bacterial small subunit ribosomal RNA", at positions 30 to 523 of the family's 1533-position model. The record is from RNAcentral.